Molecule: transfer RNA, 66 nt
Filed under: Marphysa sanguinea
Lineage: Eukaryota; Metazoa; Annelida; Polychaeta; Eunicida; Eunicidae
Description: tRNA-Trp
Rfam family: tRNA
About the family: Transfer RNA (tRNA) molecules are approximately 80 nucleotides in length. Their secondary structure includes four short double-helical elements and three loops (D, anti-codon, and T loops).
Source: RNAcentral
UAAGUUUUUAAGUUAAGCAAACUAAUAGCCUUCAAAGCUAUAAAUGGAAUGAAAUCCAAAACUUGA